RNAcentral lists this non-coding RNA (1038 nucleotides) under Trichomonas vaginalis G3. Its description in RNAcentral is "Eukaryotic large subunit ribosomal RNA". It matches the Rfam family "Eukaryotic large subunit ribosomal RNA", at positions 265 to 1613 of the family's 3401-position model. Lineage: Eukaryota; Parabasalia; Trichomonadida; Trichomonadidae. The record is from Rfam by way of RNAcentral.
UCGGAUACUUUGAGAGUAGUGUCUUAAGGGGGUGGUAUGUCCCAUCCAAGGCUAAAUAACGUGAGGAGACCGAUAGAUUACAAGUAGUGUGAACGAAAGAUGAAAAGAACUCUAAAACAGAGGGUGAAAAGUUCCUGAACUUGCUUAGGGUUAAGGCUAUUUAUAGUACCCGUCUUGAAACACGGAUUAGGGAGUUUAUCUGUAGUGCGAGUCUUUGCACGUUAACUGUAAAGGCGUAGAGAAAGCAACUGGCGUUUGCAUGGCUACUGAGCAUUACUGAUAGGACCCGAAAGGUGGUGAACUUUGCCUGCACAGGUUGAAGUCAGGGGAAACUCUGAUGGAGGACCGUACGGGUUAUUGAUGUGCAAAUCAUUUUUCUGAUGUAGGUAAAGGUGCGAAAGACUCAUCGAACCACCUAAUAGCUGGUGUCCUCCGAAGUUUCCCUCAGGAUAGCUGUAAUGCAUUUAGUUAAGGGGAGUAGAGAUAUGGGUAGAGGUGCAGGGAGCCUUCGGGUUCUCAACUUAUUUCCAAACUUCGAACCUCCUUGUUAGGCAUUUACCUAACUGGAAAUGCUUAAAUGAAUUAGCGUUACAAGUGGGCUCUGACCGGUAAGCGGUCAUGGCGAAAUGGGAUGAACCAUACGUCUGAAUAAGGUGCCGAAAUGUACUAUCACUGAUACCAUAAAGGGAGUCCAUGUAUUUAGACAGCAGGUCGGUGCCCCUAAAAGCAGGUAUCCGCUAAAGAGUGUGUUAAAACUCACCUGCCGAAUACUAGGGCCCCGAAAAUGAAUGGCGCAUAUAGUACUACCGAUCUCAGACAUCAGUUCUAUUGAACUGAGAGUAGGGGGAUGUGGACAUUUUUGUGAAGGUGCAAUGUGAGUUGGACUGGAAGAAUGUCUAUUACAGAUCCUAAUUGAAGUAGCGAUUAUCCAGGCUUGUAUCCUGGGGGCUGAUGAGGAGUAGGGUUUCUGGACAACUUAAACAGAUCCAGAGUUAGUCGAUCCUAAUCUCAAUAAUGGGAGAAAGGGAGUACACUUUA